GAGAGAGAGAAAAGAAAUAGAGAAGCGAAAAAGCAAGAACGGCAAGAAACGGAAGCGCAUUAUUGAGUACCGGAGAGGAGCAUAAACUUUCAUACAUAUAUGCCUCAUUCAGCAACUGUGGCGCUAUCUUGGAACGGUCAACAAGAAGAGCUGUUUGAAUGCAAGUGAAUGGAGGAAAUGCCCACUGAGCUCCUUCUCAGACCGCUGCAUAAACUGCUUUUGUGUUGAAACAGUAUCACAGUCCAUAGGAACAUCUGCUAAUAAGAUUUGUCAGCUGCACAUUAAUGCUGCAAAUUUCCCAUUCUACCACAUCCCAAAGGCAUUCUAUUGGAUUCAGAUCUGGUGACUGGGAAGAACACUGGGAAUGUUCAUGAACCAGUUUGAGAUGACCUUCGCUUUCUGACAUGGUGCUAUUAUGCUGGAAGUAGCCAUUAGGUGGUUUGCCAGGUUGCCAUGAUUUUCCAGAGAAGUGGUUUAGUCCACCUGCCGGUGCUGCAUCCUUUGAAAAUGCUGCAGAUUAACAGACCAUUGUUGGAUGCUGAGGAGUUGAGUGUUUAGUUGACUGAACUGUUUAGAGAGUGGAAUAUACUUCACAUUGACUGUGUUCAUUACUUAGACAAAACUUGGUAGCCAAAUACACUAUAUUGCCAAAAGUAUUCGCUCAUCUGCCUUUAGACGCAUAUGAACUUAAGUGACAUCCCAUUCUUAAUCCAUAGGGUUUAAUAUGAUGUUGGCCCACCCUUUGCAGCUAUAACAGCUUCAACUCUUCUGGGAAGGCUUUCCACAAAGUUUAGGAGUGUGUUUAUGGGAAUUUUUGACAAUUCUUCCAGAAGCGCAUUUGUGAGGUCAGACACUGAUGUUGGACGAGAAGGCCUGGCUCGCAGUCUUCGCUCUAAUUCAUCCCAAAGGUGCUCUGUCGGGUUGAGGUCAGGACUCUGUGCAGGCCAGUAAAGUUCUUCCACACCAAACUCGCUCAUCCAUGUCUUUAUGGACCUUGCUUUGUGCACUGGUGCGCAGUCAUGUUGGAACAGGUAGGGGCCAUCCCCAAACUGUUCCCACAAAGUUGGGAGCAUGGAAUUGUCCAAAAUCUCUUGGUAUGCUGAAGCAUUCAGAGUUCCUUUCACUGGAACUAAGGGGCCAAGCCCAGCUCCUGAAAAACAACCCCACACCAUAAUCCCCCCUCCACCAUACUUCACAGUUGGCACAAUGCAGUCAGACAAGUACCGUUCUCCUGGCAACCGCCAAACCCACGCUCGUCCAUCAGAUUGCCAGAUGGAGAAGUGUGAUUCGUCACUCCAGAGAACGCGUCUCCACUGCUCUAGAGUCCAGUGGAGGCGUGCUUUACACCACUACAUCCGACGCUUUGCAUUGCACUUGGUGAUGUAUGGCUUGGAUGCAGCUGCUCGGCCAUGGAAACUCAUUCCAUGAAGCUCUCUACGCACUGUUCUUGAGCUAAUCUGAAGGCCACAUGAACUUUGGAGGUCUGUAGCGAUUGACUCUGCAGAAAGUUGCCGACCUCUGCGCACUAUGCGCCUCAGCAUCCGCUGACCAUUUUACAUGGCCUACCACUUCGUGGCUGAGUUGCUGUCAUUCCCAAUCGCUUCCACUUUGUUAUAAUACCACUGACAGUUGACUGUGGAAUAUUUAGUAGCGAGGAAAUUUCACGACUGGACUUGUUGCACAGUUGGCAUCCUAUCACAGUACCAUGCUGGAAUUCACUGAGCUCCUGAGAGGGGCCCAUUCUUUCACAAAUGUUUGUAGAAGCAGUCUGCAUGCCUAGGUGCUUCAUUUUAUACACCUGUGGCCAUGGAAGUGAUUGGAACACCUGAAUUCAAUUAUUUGGAUGGGUGAGCGAAUACUUUUGGCAAUAUAGUGUAUUACUUAGUGAAGUAAUAUUUCUUUGUUGUGUUCCUGUAUGGUAUUUACCUGUUUUGUUCUAUUGUCUGUCUAUAUUUGACAUGUGUUUCUGUAAAUAAUUGUAAAUAGCGUCAAUAGAAUAAAAUGCCA
This is a long non-coding RNA of Myxocyprinus asiaticus (Chinese sucker), 2007 nucleotides long. RefSeq lists it as uncharacterized. The transcript is spliced from 3 exons. Lineage: Eukaryota; Metazoa; Chordata; Actinopteri; Cypriniformes; Catostomidae. The record is from RefSeq and is a predicted model, not a curated record.